This 1045-nucleotide ribosomal RNA is filed under the name 'Mayawa sp. 1 VT-2021' phytoplasma. Its description in RNAcentral is "bacterial SSU rRNA". It matches the Rfam family "Bacterial small subunit ribosomal RNA", at positions 231 to 1285 of the family's 1533-position model. Lineage: Bacteria; Bacillati; Mycoplasmatota; Mollicutes; Acholeplasmatales; Acholeplasmataceae. The record is from RNAcentral.
CUUGCGUACAUUAGUUAGUUGGUAGGGUAAAAGCCUACCAAGACUAUGAUGUGUAGCUGGACUGAGAGGUUGAACAGCCACAUUGGGACUGAGACACGGCCCAAACUCCUACGGGAGGCAGCAGUAGGGAAUUUUCGGCAAUGGAGGAAACUCUGACCGAGCAACGCCGCGUGAACGAUGAAGUAUUUCGGUAUGUAAAGUUCUUUUAUUGGAGAAGAAAAAAUAGUGGAAAAACUAUCUUGACGAUAUUCAAUGAAUAAGCCCCGGCAAACUAUGUGCCAGCAGCCGCGGUAAUACAUAGGGGGCGAGCGUUAUCCGGAAUUAUUGGGCGUAAAGGGUGCGUAGGCGGUUUAAUAAGUCUAUAGUUUAAUUUCAGUGCUUAACACUGUCCUGCUAUAGAAACUAUUAGACUAGAGUGAGAUAGAGGCAAGUGGAAUUCCAUGUGUAGCGGUAAAAUGCGUAAAUAUAUGGAGGAACACCAGAGGCGUAGGCGGCUUGCUGGGUCUUUACUGACGCUGAGGCACGAAAGCGUGGGGAGCAAACAGGAUUAGAUACCCUGGUAGUCCACGCCGUAAACGAUGAGUACUAAGUGUCGGGGUUACUCGGUACUGAAGUUAACACAUUAAGUACUCCGCCUGAGUAGUACGUACGCAAGUAUGAAACUUAAAGGAAUUGACGGGACUCCGCACAAGCGGUGGAUCAUGUUGUUUAAUUCGAAGAUACACGAAAAACCUUACCAGGUCUUGACAUACUCUGCAAAGCUAUAGCAAUAUAGUGGAGGUUAUCAGGGAUACAGGUGGUGCAUGGUUGUCGUCAGCUCGUGUCGUGAGAUGUUAGGUUAAGUCCUAAAACGAGCGCAACCCUUGUCACUAGUUGCCAGCAUGUUAUGAUGGGCACUUUAGUGAGACUGCCAAUGAAAAAUUGGAGGAAGGUGAGGAACACGUCAAAUCAUCAUGCCCCUUAUGAUCUGGGCUACAAACGUGAUACAAUGGCUGUUACAAAGAGUAGGUAAAACGCAAGUUCAUAGCCAAUCUCAUAAAAGCAG